RNAcentral lists this long non-coding RNA (843 nucleotides) under Lupinus angustifolius (narrow-leaved blue lupine). Its description in RNAcentral is "long non-coding RNA (LANG_LNC001279)". The record is from RNAcentral. Lineage: Eukaryota; Viridiplantae; Streptophyta; Magnoliopsida; Fabales; Fabaceae.
UCAUCCCUAAACAUGAUCUAUUGAUAUUGAUUCAAUGAUCCCUAUAAUGGGCUAUUGUGAAUUUAUUAUUAUUAAGAACACACAAAUGAUUAAUACAUUAGUACAUUUAUUUAAUAUGUAUAUACUGGAUAUGUAAAUAUUUUUUACAGUAAAUUAUUCACUGUUGAUUUAUUAACUACCAUUGAUACAAAUCAAUGAUGGAUAAUAUGUUGAUAGUGUAAAAAAAUUAUACUGUCAAUGCACAGAUUUUAAAUUUUUAGUACAUUAGUAGCCAUACAUUUUAUUCUCAAUUAAAAGGUGUUAUUUGACAAUACUCACAACCCCAUUAAUGAUAGUGAACAUUCAAUAGCUUAUAUUGUAAGAAAUGAAAACCAAAUAAAAACUAUUGCCAUACAACAUGAUAAACCCAAAUGACUGGACUUUAUAAUCUUAUUAAUUUAUAUACUUAUAAUUAAUAAAAGUUUCUCGCCUCUUUUGUUGGGUCAUAGUAGAAUGGUUCGGCUGGAUUUUGCCACUUCUUAAAAUCUACUUUUUCUUGAUCCUCGCUCAAACGACUCGGUGGCAGUGGUUCCUCUACUUUCACGUCAAGUGGUGGUGGUGGUGAUGACAAUGCUAUGGGUGACAAUAGAGGGAUUAUGAGUUUCCGAUUCAUAUUGUGGUUAAUUUGCAAUGAGGGUGGAGCACGAGUUUGCAUCUUGCUCGACUGAUGUCGAUGGGUCUCAAAAUUGGAUUUUCUUUUUUUAGCAUUUUCCAUAGAUAUCAAUGACGGCAAAGAGAAAUGGUGAAAGCGAAAAGGAGAGAGAAAGGAAGAGUUUGAUGUAGUGAGAGAUAAUGGUGGGUGUG